This 253-nucleotide ribosomal RNA is filed under the name uncultured bacterium. RNAcentral describes it as "partial 16S ribosomal RNA". It matches the Rfam family "Bacterial small subunit ribosomal RNA", at positions 524 to 776 of the family's 1533-position model. The record is from RNAcentral.
UACGUAGGGUGCAAGCGUUGUCCGGAAUUAUUGGGCGUAAAGAGCUCGUAGGCGGUUUGUUGCGUCGGCUGUGAAAACCUGAGGCUCAACCUCAGGCCUGCAGUCGAUACGAGCAGACUGGAGUGUUGCAGGGGAGACUGGAAUUCCUGGUGUAGCGGUGAAAUGCGCAGAUAUCAGGAGGAACACCGGUGGCGAAGGCGGGUCUCUGGGCAACAACUGACGCUGAGGAGCGAAAGCGUGUGGAGCAAACAGG